This 1234-nucleotide long non-coding RNA is filed under the name Brassica napus (rape). RNAcentral describes it as "long non-coding RNA (BNAP_LNC013102)". Lineage: Eukaryota; Viridiplantae; Streptophyta; Magnoliopsida; Brassicales; Brassicaceae. The record is from RNAcentral.
UACUACUACAAGUCUCCACCACCACCUUCUCCGGUUUACUACUACAAGUCUCCACCACCACCAACUCCAACUUAUGUCUAUAAAUCACCGCCUCCACCAACCCCAGCGUAUGUCUACAAAUCGCCUCCUCCUCCUACCCCAACAUACGUCUAUAAAUCUCCUCCACCACCAACUCCGACUUACGUCUACAAAUCACCACCACCGCCUACUCCAACGUAUGUGUAUAAGUCUCCGCCUCCACCAACCCCUACGUAUGUCUACAAGUCGCCCCCACCACCAACUCCAACCUAUGUUUACAAAUCACCGCCUCCUCCUACUCCGACCUACGUCUACAAGUCGCCGCCUCCUCCUACCCCAACUUAUGUUUACAAGUCGCCACCACCUCCAACACACACUCCUACACCAUACUACUACCAUUCUCCACCACCACCAGUUAAAUCUCCUCCACCUCCAUAUUAUUACCAUUCGCCACCACCACCCGUAAAAUCUCCACCACCGCCAUAUUAUUAUCAUUCACCACCCCCUCCGGUGAAAUCUCCUCCUCCUCCUUACUACUACCACUCUCCACCCCCUCCGGUGAAGUCUCCUCCUCCACCUUACUACUACCAGUCACCACCCCCUCCCGUAAAGUCACCACCACCACCAUAUUAUUACCAUUCACCACCUCCUCCGGUCAAAUCUCCUCCUCCACCCUACUAUUACCAUUCACCUCCUCCACCGAUGAAAUCUCCACCACCACCAUACUACUACCACUCACCACCUCCUCCAGUCAAAUCUCCUCCUCCACCGUACUAUUACCAUUCACCUCCUCCACCGGUGAAAUCUCCACCACCACCAUACUACUACCAUUCACCACCUCCUCCUGUCAAAUUUCCUCCACCAUACUAUUACCACUCACCACCCCCACCGGUCAAAUCCCCUCCACCACCUUACUAUUACCAUUCACCACCCCCACCGGUCAAAUCUCCUCCUCCACCAUACUACUACCACUCACCACCUCCUCCGGUGAAGUCUCCGCCACCGCCAUACCAUUACAACUCUCCACCACCAGUAAAAUCUCCCCCACCUCCAGUAUACAUCUACGCCUCUCCUCCACCUCCUACCCAUUACUAGGCUCAUCAAAUUCAGCCACAUUCCCCCAUUAUUCAAGUAAAGACCCAACGCUUCAACAUUUUCAAUAUGCUCCAUAUCCAUAUCGAUAGAACUUUGUCUCAUUAUCUCAAUUUCUUCUUCG